UGCCACGGUAAAAUGAAACUGGCUAUUUGCAGCUGUAUCUUUUGUGAACUUUAUGUGGGUCUUUGAUAGGCCCCGCCCAGAUGUUUGCAGUGUCAUAUGGGGAGGACGUCGCUCACGGUUUUCAUUUUCCAUAGCAAACACGGUUAUCUGCUGCCAUUACAGAGCAACUGUUUGAAGAAAUGCUGCUGAGCAGGUUUGUGCUGGUCAGCACAACGUCUGUCUGCCGUCUGGCUGAGUUCUGCUGUCAGUACAGUUCCAGAGGAUCGGCCCGUGAACCUCUCAUGUUGAAGUAUACUGCACAUAGAAGCAUCUGCACAGAUCUUCGACUCAAAUGAGUCAAGCAGCACUAACAGUGAAAAACUAACCCGUCUAGUGGAUCACAAAGACCAUCACGCACUCACUGUGUGUGUCUAUACACACACACACCGACUCCCCACGCUGUGGCGGCGAGUUGACAAGCCCGUCUGCCAAACAACUCAAUUAAGCAGAAAAGAGGAGGAAAAAGAACUAGAAGGAACAUAGAAGAGAGGGAAGGUGAGAGAAAGAGAAAAGCCUGUUGCCUGUCGGCUGCGCGGCCGCCUCUGCGGGGCAAGAAGGGCAGCAACACGUCAGAGAUAAAGAAGAGGGACAAGAAAAAAGGGAAAGGGGAGAAAAGAAAAACCUCUGUGAUGUGUUAACUGGCAUUCAGGACCCUAGGGCAGCACCAGGGCACAGGUCAAACUAAGAGCCGUUGGGUCAUUGCCACGCCGACAGGGACACCGGGCCUUAACACUGCAUCUCUGUGUGUGUGACUGAUUGUGAGUAUAUGUGUGUUUGCUCUUCUCUUCAGACUGGAGAGAACUCACUUUGGCCCAAGUGUGAGUGUGAGUGUUUACAGACCCUUAUGAAAACUGAAACAUGACUAUUGAUGACAUGCAUCUUCAAAAUGCAAUUCCUAUUAGAAAGAGCAUUUUGUUGCUGUCGGGUGGAAAACCUUGUAUCUCUAAAAUGACAACGUUUCGGAAAACGGAAUAACAAAAAAAGUAAACACUGAGUUGACAAGCUCUUUUUAAUGCUUCUCAUUGUAUAAAUAUUUGCAAAAGCAAACAUGAAGGAUGACCAAUAUGAAUGAUUUGUGAAAUAUUACAUUACAUUUACAUUUAUUCAUUUGGCAGAUGCUUUUAUCCAUAGGAGAGCAUAUAAACACUUGUCAACAUGCUAAGCAGUAGUUUACAAGAUAUGGAGAUAUAGAGAUACAAAGAUUCUGCUCUACAGUGACAAGUUUUUUUUUACAAAUUCAUUAAUUUUAUUUGUCACUUAUUAA
Molecule: long non-coding RNA, 1303 nt
Organism: Triplophysa rosa
Lineage: Eukaryota; Metazoa; Chordata; Actinopteri; Cypriniformes; Nemacheilidae
Exons: 5
Source: RefSeq, a predicted model, not a curated record